This is a long non-coding RNA of Anas platyrhynchos (mallard), 2425 nucleotides long. RefSeq lists it as uncharacterized. The record is from RefSeq and is a predicted model, not a curated record. Lineage: Eukaryota; Metazoa; Chordata; Aves; Anseriformes; Anatidae.
UAUUAGUCUGCUCCCGAGUCAGUUUCCCAGAUUUCAAGACCAUAGACACAAAUGAACCCAAGAACAGUAAGAUUAUUACUGGCUUCUGUGGUUGAAGCAUGAGGUACCACUGCGUGCGUUUCAUUCCAGCUCCCAUUUCUGAACAGCCAAAACAGGCUGUGGUGGUGGUGGUUCUUUUUAAGAGCAUUCUCCUUCUUUUAGUAACACUGACGUACUGUUGCAUACAAGAGGUAUAAAUCUGCUGGCUGUUUCCUCACCUCUGCUGUAUGGCAAUUUCACUCAGCACAGAAUGCCUCAGUCAGCAUCACCAGCAAAUGCAUCAUGUAUGAUGUGCUUUUUUUACUUCUAAGGCUUCCCCUCCAGCUCAAAUAACAUCAUGCAGCUGAUUUCUCGAAUUCCUACAUGCAAAAAUCGAUCUGUUUGUUCUGAAGCCACAGAGUUUUCAUCUGCUGCCAGAGGGGGGAUCCAUCUGGGUGCCAUGACUUCCUUCCUUUGAAACGAGCCCUCCCUGUGCCCGCUAGCAGGCAGCAGUCCCACAGCCGCAUUCAGGGGCUGUGCCUGCUUUUGCUUUACUGGCAGAGCAGGGAGGAUUGGAGAUGGAAGGCAUAGAGGCCGGGGCCAGUUUUUCAUCCCUGGAGUGAGGCUGGCAGGUACAAGGGCCGUUCCUGACAGAAGGGCAGGUGCCUCUUUGCAGGGCUUAGCCCAUUUUAAGCACCCGGCUGCUGCAGAAAGGCAUAGACCUCCUGUGUAUUGUACAUGCCUGCCAUACACGGCCUCUGUUGCACGUUCAAGGUGGUGCUUGGCACUGCUUGGGCGAUGGAAUACCACCCUGCAUCUGCUGCUUGCCUCACCAGAGAAGCAGACAAGCCCCGGAUACUCACAGAACCUCCUUUUGAUUACAAGUCAGCUUACAGAAGAGGGAUUUGCACAGCCCUGUUGUAUCUCCUGAUUUCUUCUGCUGUGGCUGUGGGAGGUCCUGGGCUGCUUCUGGGGACCAGCCUUUGCCAGGGAGGCAGAGCCCUGCCAGCUCCUUGGGAAGGCUAGCAGGCAUCACAGUGAGAUCCAGCUCUACCAACUUUGACUUCUUGACCAGGCCCCUCAGUCACAUUUAUAUAACAAGAACCAGAUCAAAAAGCCAGGCAAGACACGGAUGACUGAUUUACCCCAAAUCUCUUCCUCCCACUGGCAGAUUUUAGCACAGGUCCUCCCAGCCUGGCCACCCUCACGCCUGCUGCCCGUGACCUCACACAGCUCUCACCCCCACUUUUCACCCCAUUUUUCAGCCUCAUCAUUGAGGUUGAAAUUAGUUGUUUGAUGUACUGUAAUUAGUACAACUGUAAUUAGUUGAUUGAUUUCCCCCAUAUGUGAAUACUGAGCCAUCCUGAAGACUAUUACUUCAAAGAACUUUUGUCAGAUUUGUCACCAAUAAUUAAAUUGUCUCCACCCAAGCAGACUGUGCUUUUGAUCAAGAAUAUGCAGUUUCCUCCUGACUGGGGGCCAAGGAAAGGCAUGAUUUGAUCACAGUGCUGGCAGAUGUCUUAGAGAGCAAAGGAAGCUCACUUUGUUAUUCUUAGCAGCUCCUGCCUUUCAAUCAUGGGAAAUUAUCAUUUGACUAUUAGUGUGGAAGAGUUUUCCUUGCACGCCAGCAAAGUUAAAAGGCUACAGUCAGCUUUGAGUAUGAUGCCUUCCCUGUGGAGGUUGAUGAGAGACUCGUACUCAUCUCACCUUCCUGUUUACCUGCUCAUUUUUGGUACAAUCCCAAAUUAUUAAGAUGAUAUACUAGUUGCAGUAGAAUUAUUUAACUGUGUUAAAUAGUUUUUUAAUUUCCAUUUUCUGUGGUGUGAUGCAAGAACAGGAGGCACUACAGCCUCCCUUCUGCAAACAUUUGCACUGCACACCUGCAGUAAAACAUGCAGGUUUUUUCCACUACAGUCCCUCAGCACCAGCACAGCAGAAGCAGACUUUGCUUCCCCCAGCCCAUUGGGAAGUGAUUCAGCACUGCAAUGUGGCUGCUGGCAAAGGUAUCAGUUCAUUUCGCUAGUCUUCUUCGUAGUAUUUUAAUGGUGAUUGUUUGUGGUGGUGUUUUUUUUGACUUUUUUUUGUCCACAAUGCAGAAAUUCAUUGCUCAGACUUUGAAUCACCUACAAACCUAUCCGAUUUUAUUUUCUUUCUACCUGUUUUGCUGAAAGAAACUACUUGUGAAUAUUUUUAAAUUAAAAAAAAAAAUUAACUCUAUUCUAAAAAAAAAUAAUAAAAAAAUCUAAAAGAAGUCCAGAAAAUGGUAGACAAUUGCAAAUUCUGUUUGCUAUCUCAUGAUGCACUCAGCUAGUAGUUUGAUUCAUCCAAUCACGCUGUGGAAUGUGAGGUCUCACCAGGAUGGGUCCUUCCUUCCUCAGUGGCUGUGUUCCCCCGCCCAGAAAGCAGC